Molecule: ribosomal RNA, 253 nt
Filed under: uncultured bacterium
Lineage: Bacteria
Description: partial 16S ribosomal RNA
Rfam family: Bacterial small subunit ribosomal RNA
Source: RNAcentral
GCCGGAGGAUGCAAUCGUUAUCCGGAAUUAUUGGGCGUAAAGCGUUCGCAGGUGGCUGUUCAAGUCUGCUGUCAAAGACCGGGGCUUAACCCCAGAAAGGCAGUGGAAACUGAACGGCUGGAGUGCAGUAUGGGUAGAGGGAAUUCCCAGUGUAGCGGUGAAAUGCGUAGAGAUUGGGAAGAACACCGGUGGCGAAAGCGCUCUGCUGGACUGCAACUGACACUGAGGGACGAAAGCUAGGGGAGAGAAAGGG